UCACAUCUCUAGACAUUCCUUUCUACGAUUUAUCCGACGAUAUUAAGUCGAGUAAAUAAAAGAAGUAAUGAAUAAUUGUAGUUGAUUGAAAGUUACGUUCGAUUAACAAUAACUACCACGCGCUUGUGAUCGUUCGAAGAGAAUUAAAUAAGUCCGUGGUAACCGAAACCAUGACCACCGAAGCCGUGCCCAAGGGCGAUACCGGAAUGAUCAAGAUACGACGUUGGAUAAGCCGGGGCGUUAUAUCCAUGAGACAACGGAAUCGGUACGUUGUUGUAUCCAUGAGAGACGAGAGGAGCAUUACCGUAACUGUGGCCUAAAGAGUAACUCGCUGCUGAAUUUCCCACAUAUCCGGUAUGACCAAAUCCUAAAAGGGGAAAAAAGAAAAGGUAAAACCUUUGGAAGCGCAGCAACUCGUUCGAUGUUUCAAUUACGGAAGAGAUCGAAAUAGAUCGUUUCAAUUUACUCUCUACAAAAAAAAAAGGUCAGGAUUUGAAUGACCGAACAGGAAAGUUGUCGUCUACGUUCGCUUUCUCCGAUAAAUCUACGAUAACGUUUAAACGGG
Molecule: long non-coding RNA, 565 nt
Organism: Vespa crabro (European hornet)
Lineage: Eukaryota; Metazoa; Arthropoda; Insecta; Hymenoptera; Vespidae
Exons: 2
Source: RefSeq, a predicted model, not a curated record